This is a non-coding RNA of Acanthosepion pharaonis, 113 nucleotides long. The record is from the annotation of a GenBank genome assembly. Lineage: Eukaryota; Metazoa; Mollusca; Cephalopoda; Sepiida; Sepiidae.
AUAGCCAUAUCACGUUGAAACACCGGUUCUCGUACGAUCAGCGAAGUUAAGCAACGUUGAGCUCGGUCAGUACCUAGAUGGGGGACCGUUUAGUAAUACCAAGUGCUGUAAGC